This 509-nucleotide ribosomal RNA is filed under the name Acilius duvergeri. RNAcentral describes it as "partial 16S ribosomal RNA". The stretch from base 386 to 509 matches the Rfam family "Bacterial large subunit ribosomal RNA", at positions 2473 to 2597 of the family's 2925-position model. Lineage: Eukaryota; Metazoa; Arthropoda; Insecta; Coleoptera; Dytiscidae. The record is from RNAcentral.
GUCCUCUUGAAUUUAAUUUAAGGUCUGACCUGCCCACUGAAAUUUUAAAUGGCCGCAGUAAUUUGACUGUGCAAAGGUAGCAUAAUCAUUAGUUUUUUAAUUAAAAGCUUGUAUGAAGGGUUGGACGAGGUAAAAUCUGUCUCUAUUUAAUUUAAAUUAGAAUUUAAUUUUUAAGUUAAAAAGCUUAAAUUUUAUUAAAAGACGAGAAGACCCUAUAGAUCUUUAUAUUAUUUAUAAUAAUUUUAUUUAAGAAUUUUUUAUUUUUUAUUAUAAAUAUUUAUUUUAUUGGGGUAAUAAAAAGAUUAAAUAAAUUCUUUUAAAUAUAAACAUUGAUUUAUGAUUAUAUGAUCCAAUUUUUUUGAUUAAAAGAUUAAGUUACCUUAGGGAUAACAGCGUAAUUUUUUUAAAGAGUUCAUAUCGAUAAAAAAGUUUGCGACCUCGAUGUUGGAUUAAAAAUUAUCUUAGGUGCAGAAGUUUAAGAUUUUGGUCUGUUCGACCAUUAAAUUUUU